This 1316-nucleotide long non-coding RNA is filed under the name Mytilus galloprovincialis (Mediterranean mussel). The record is from RNAcentral. Lineage: Eukaryota; Metazoa; Mollusca; Bivalvia; Mytilida; Mytilidae.
AUUGUAGUUGAAUGACGAUUUUUACCCACUUCUUUUUUUAAGUUUGGGCAAAAUCAUAGGAUAUAGAGAGCUUAAGCAGGGAAAAAAUCAUCAAUAUAACAAGAUCGAUAAUAUUAAGAGAUUUAAAAAAUAACCUUUUUUAAAACUUGGAAAAUUAUCGUCCUACUUUUAACAACGAUUUAUCCUGAUAUUGUAAAAUUGAUGUAAACGGGAUAACUCUUGUUCAAAAAUAUCUUAGAUUAUUUAUUGUUUAAAUGUAUGAAUUUUGUGGAUAUUCGAAUAUCUUUUUUUGAAUUCUUCUACAAAAAACUAAACGUUACAUGAUACGCAAACUCCUAGAACAUGAUAUUCAGCAAGACUACAAAUUUCAAGUACUCGCAAUACGGUUUGUAUUUGUACUGGCCGACUUAUCAGUCUACAAUGUGGUAGAUGUCAUGCAGCAUAGCCAGAACUAGCAGAGGAAGGCGCGACUCGGCAAUAUCCUUUACACAGACAUGUACAGAUCUUCAAUGCAGUAAAACAAAAAUCGAAGCGAGACCUAUAAACUAUUGAACCUUCAACUUAUUGAAACAGAUGCCACAGCAAAAAUCAACAAUACUAUAUAUAAUUUAUUUGCAAAAACAAAUAAUCCGUAAAGAUGAAGGGUAAGUUAAUAAUGUAUGCUGAUUAUAAACAAAUUACGUCUUUUUUAAAUCAUAUUAAUUGAGUAAAAAGUACUAUAAAUAGUAACUGUACCUAUAAAACGUAUUAAUCAUGACAGCGUGUAGCUUAAUUCUUGGUUUAUAUUAAAAUAAAAUUGAGCUGUUUUACAAUAUAAAACUAAGUUCAUUUAUUGAAUGAUAUCACUUCUAAAGGUAACCGUUAGGAGAGUAGUUCAUUAGUUCUUAAACAUGUAACAAAUGGGGCAGAUGAUGAUUAUCCUUUUUGAGUAUCUGAGCCUAUACCUGGAUGUUGGUAAGGUUUUGUUACUUAAUGUUUGGUUACCGUGCAUUUUUUGUUUUGCUGAACGUUUUUGUUUUCUUUUUCUCGAUUUUUAUUUGUUUAUCUUCUUAUCUUAUAUUGAAGACUGCCCAGAAACACAAAAUAAAUUAUAUAUAAAUAUACUAAAUAAAUAAAUGAUUUGGAAAAUACAUUGAAGGUAUAAAAAGUCAUGAGAAUUCCGAAUGUUCCCGUUGAACAUAACAGAAAAUAACCGCAAGUCUCCGAAUAAAAAGGUAAAGUAGGUCAAAGACGCUAAAAUUAUUUUAUAACAUUAAACAUUUUAGCAUCGACGGUAAAGGAAGCUAUAAGGUAUUUAUCUUCUCAUUUUAAUUAUU